GACGAACGCUGGCGGCGUGCCUAAUACAUGCAAGUAGAACGCUGAAGAGAGGAGCUUGCUCUUCUUGGAAGAGUUGCGAACGGGUGAGUAACGCGUAGGUAACCUGCCUUGUAGCGGGGGAUAACUAUUGGAAACGAUAGCUAAUACCGCAUAACAAUGGGUGACCCAUGUCAUUCAUUUGAAAGGGGCAACUGCUCCACUACAAGAUGGACCUGCGUUGUAUUAGCUAGUAGGUGAGGUAACGGCUCACCUAGGCGACGAUACAUAGCCGACCUGAGAGGGUGAUCGGCCACACUGGGACUGAGACACGGCCCAGACUCCUACGGGAGGCAGCAGUAGGGAAUCUUCGGCAAUGGGGGCAACCCUGACCGAGCAACGCCGCGUGAGUGAAGAAGGUUUUCGGAUCGUAAAGCUCUGUUGUAAGUCAAGAACGAGUGUGAGAGUGGAAAGUUCACACUGUGACGGUAGCUUACCAGAAAGGGACGGCUAACUACGUGCCAGCAGCCGCGGUAAUACGUAGGUCCCGAGCGUUGUCCGGAUUUAUUGGGCGUAAAGCGAGCGCAGGCGGUUUGAUAAGUCUGAAGUUAAAGGCUGUGGCUCAACCAUAGUUCGCUUUGGAAACUGUCAAACUUGAGUGCAGAAGGGGAGAGUGGAAUUCCAUGUGUAGCGGUGAAAUGCGUAGAUAUAUGGAGGAACACCGGUGGCGAAAGCGGCUCUCUGGUCUAUAACUGACGCUGAGGCUCGAAAGCGUGGGGAGCGAACAGG
This 765-nucleotide ribosomal RNA is filed under the name uncultured Streptococcus sp. RNAcentral describes it as "bacterial SSU rRNA". It matches the Rfam family "Bacterial small subunit ribosomal RNA", at positions 28 to 776 of the family's 1533-position model. Lineage: Bacteria; Bacillati; Bacillota; Bacilli; Lactobacillales; Streptococcaceae. The record is from RNAcentral.